RNAcentral lists this unclassified non-coding RNA (1987 nucleotides) under Nilaparvata lugens (brown planthopper). RNAcentral's name for it is "gastrula zinc finger protein XlCGF57.1-like, transcript variant X1". The record is from RNAcentral. Lineage: Eukaryota; Metazoa; Arthropoda; Insecta; Hemiptera; Delphacidae.
UUGUAAGUACAACUUUAAGCAGCAUUUUGAUUUUGAUGGCCUUUGUUCAUUUUAGAAGUGUAUUAUUUAUUAUUGGUGGACAGUAUUUUUAUUACAAUUAAAAAUGAACUACUAAUAUUUAUUCUAUCAAUUAACUGCGAUGGAUUUGAACGGAGAAGAGUGUGGAAGCCACAGUGGAUUCAGUCCAGUUCAGAUGCAGCCAGACUACUCAAUGCCCUAUUCACAACAUCAAGGACCAUACAUGGACAACUGUGAUUGGCCAAUCCAUGAACCAGAUCAACAUCAAGUCACCAUUGAAGAUAAGUAUCACAUCCAACUCAAUGUGGAUAAUCAAAGUGUAUACUUGGACCACAAUUACUCCAAACAUCCCAUUGAAAUAAUUCGGAUCAAACCAGAGGAACUAAUUGAAGAAGAUGAAACAGGAGAAGAAGAACAACUACAAUGUGGAGUAGAAAUUGGAGUGAGAAGUGGAGAAAUAAAGCAAGAGAGUGACACCUGUCUGCAGAUUGAAAGCAUCUAUUCUCUCUCCUCAGAUAGACUGGAUUCUGACACCUCAGUUAUAGAACAAAUAAAAUUUGAAACUGGGGAAAUUAAGGAGGAACAACAAUCUUUUGAAACAGACCAUUCAGAUGCAUUGAUGCAAACUGAAGGUUUUUCUUCUCAUGUAGUAUCUGAAAAUUAUGAAAGUGAAAAUGAGUCAUCUGGAUUGUGUCUACCAUACUUUGAGGAACAGGGAGGUUCUGGCUCCAAUAGGUCUAUUGUUGCAACUCCUGGGAAUAAUAUGAUGGAAGAUUCUGAAGAAGAGUGUAAUGAGGUGGACUUACUAAUAAAAAAUGCAAGGAAGAAUGUGAUUGAUGCAGCAAGUUACAGAGAUUCAACAAAGUGUCAGUUGUGUGGUGAAUCAUUCAGCAACACUAGAGAAUUGAAUCUUCAUUGCAGAAUACACACAUCUGGAAAACAUGCUUGCAAAUUCUGUGACUAUAAAGCAACAAAAAAAUCAAAUCUCAUCACUCAUCUAAGGACACACACGGGAGAAAGACCCUUCAGCUGUCAUUUGUGUGACUACAAAGCAAAACUAAAAUCACAUCUCAUCAAACAUCUAAGGACACACACAGGAGAAAGACCCUUCAGCUGUGAUUUGUGUGACUGUAAAACAACACAAAAAUCAAAUCUCAUCACUCAUCUAAGGACACACACGGGAGAUAGACCCUUCAGCUGUGAUUUGUGUGACUAUAAAACAACACGAAAAUCAGAUCUCAUCACUCAUCUAAGGACACACACAGGAGAAAGACCCUUCAGCUGUGAUUUGUGUGAUUACAAAGCAACAGAAAAAUCAGCACUCACUGUACAUCUAAAGACACAUACAGGAGAUAGACCCUUCAGCUGUCAUUUGUGUGACUACAAAGCAAAGUGGAAAUCACACCUCAUCUCUCAUCUAAAGUCACACAUGGGAGAAAGACCCUUCAGCUGUGAUUUCUGUGACUACAAAGCAACACAGAAAUCACAUCUCAUCACUCAUCUAAGGACACACACAGGAGAAAGACCCUUCAGCUGUGAUUUGUGUGACUACAAAGCAACACAGAAAUCACAUCUCAUCACUCAUCUAAAGUCACACACAGGAGAGAAAGACCAUUCAGCUGUGAUCUCUGUGAUAGCACAACAACACAGAAAUCAACUAUCAGUAGACAUCUAGAGACACACACUGGAUGAGGCCCUCCAGCUGAUAUUUCUGUGAAUACAAAGCAACACAGAAAUCACAUCUCAUCACUUAUCUAGAGACAUACACAGGGAAAAGAUGCUGAUCACAGUUCAAUAGCACUGCCCCAUUUUCUCUUCAUGUGCCUGUCUCUGGCUACCUUUCUCUUCAUGUGCCUGUCAUUGGCUACCUCUCUUCAAGCACCUGUCAUUGGCUACCUCUCUUCAUGUGCCUGUCGUUGGCUACCUCUCUUCAUGUGCCUGUCAUUGGUCACCUCUCUUCAUGUGCCUG